Molecule: ribosomal RNA, 253 nt
Filed under: uncultured bacterium
Lineage: Bacteria
Description: partial 16S ribosomal RNA
Rfam family: Bacterial small subunit ribosomal RNA
Source: RNAcentral
UACGUAGGGAGCAAGCGUUAUCCGGAUUUACUGGGCGUAAAGCGCGCGUAGGCGGACGUUUAAGUGUGGCCUGAAAGCCCCCGGCUCAACCGGGGAGGGCGGCUGCAAACUGGGCGUCUUGAGGGGGAUAGAGGAGAGUGGAAUUCCUGGUGUAGCGGUGAAAUGCGUAGAUAUUGGGAAGAACACCGGUGGCGAAGGCGGCCAUCUGGACCGGAACUGACGCUGAGGCGCGAAAGCUAGGGGAGCGAAUGGG